Molecule: small nuclear RNA, 138 nt
Organism: Callithrix jacchus (white-tufted-ear marmoset)
Lineage: Eukaryota; Metazoa; Chordata; Mammalia; Primates; Cebidae
Gene: U4
Rfam family: U4 spliceosomal RNA
About the family: U4 small nuclear RNA (U4 snRNA) is a component of the major U2-dependent spliceosome. The structure of U4 snRNA from yeast and human has been reported.
Source: Ensembl
CUCUUUGCACAGUGGCACUAUCACAGCCAAUGAGGUUUACCUGAGGCAUGAUGAUUGCUAAAUAAAUAUUUCCCAAUGCCACGUGCAAUAGAGUUGGCAUUGGUCAUUUCUUUCUUUUUUUUUUUUUUUUUUUUGAGA